AACAGGAUUAGAUACCCUGGUAGUCCACGCCGUAAACGAUGUCGACUUGGAGGUUGUUCCCUUGAGGAGUGGCUUCCGGAGCUAACGCGUUAAGUCGACCGCCUGGGGAGUACGGCCGCAAGGUUAAAACUCAAAUGAAUUGACGGGGGCCCGCACAAGCGGUGAAGCAUGUGGUUUAAUUCGAUGCAACGCGAAGAACCUUACCUACUCUUGACAUCCACGGAAUUUGGCAGAGAUGCCUUAGUGCCUUCGGGAACCGUGAGACAGGUGCUGCAUGGCUGUCGUCAGCUCGUGUUGUGAAAUGUUGGGUUAAGUCCCGCAACGAGCGCAACCCUUAUCCUUUGUUGCCAGCGAUUCGGUCGGGAACUCAAAGGAGACUGCCGGUGAUAAACCGGAGGAAGGUGGGGAUGACGUCAAGUCAUCAUGGCCCUUACGAGUAGGGCUACACACGUGCUACAAUGGCGCAUACAAAGAGAAGCGACCUCGCGAGAGCAAGCGGACCUCACAAAGUGCGUCGUAGUCCGGAUCGGAGUCUGCAACUCGACUCCGUGAAGUCGGAAUCGCUAGUAAUC
Molecule: ribosomal RNA, 572 nt
Filed under: uncultured bacterium
Lineage: Bacteria
Description: bacterial SSU rRNA
Rfam family: Bacterial small subunit ribosomal RNA
Source: RNAcentral